GAUGAACGCUGGCGGCGUGCCUAAUACAUGCAAGUCGAGCGAACAGACGAGUAGCUUGCUCCUUUUACGUUAGCGGCGAACGGGUUAGUAACACGUGGGUAACCUACCUAUAAGACUGGGAUAACUUCGGGAAACCUGAGCUAAUACCGGAUAAUAUUUCGAACCGCAUGGUUCGAUAGUGAAAGAUGGCUUUUCUAUCACUUAUAGAUUGACCUGCGCCGUAUUAGCUAGUUGGUAUGGUAACGGCUUACCAAGGCAACGAUACGUAGCCGACCUGAGAGUGUGAUCGGCGAGAACGGAACGGAGACACGGUCCAGACGCAGAGGUGAGGCAGAAGUAGGGAAUCGGGCACAAAGGGCGAAAGACUGAAGGAGCAAGGAAGAGUGAUGGAUGAAGGGUUACGGAACGUAAAACGCAGUUAGCAGGGAAGAACAAACGUGUAAGUAACUUGGUACGUUGUGACGUGACCAAACUAGAAAGGCACGGCUAAAUACGAG
RNAcentral lists this ribosomal RNA (497 nucleotides) under uncultured bacterium. RNAcentral's name for it is "partial 16S ribosomal RNA". It matches the Rfam family "Bacterial small subunit ribosomal RNA", at positions 28 to 507 of the family's 1533-position model. The record is from RNAcentral.